GGCAGUUCUGUUCCAGUCAGAAAGCAAAUCAACCCACUGAAAUGUAAUUAGUAUAAAUCAAAUAUGCACUGCAAUUACAUAGCACAUGGUAAGCAGACUGUAAAACUGAGUGGUGUAUUUUUGCAUCCUAACAUUUCCUGUAUUCCCAGAGCAGCUUCUUUCCUUAUUAUUGCACUUUUGAGAUGUAAUUAUAUGGCCUCAAAAUAUCUCUUCUCUGUAACAACCUUUUUUUUCUGAAAGUCAACUCUCUUUACUAAUUGAUUAAAGGAACAGUAUCACUAUCAAAAUACAGUUCCAUGACUUGAUAUCCUUCUGACCAAAACAGGGGGAAGCAGAAGGCUGGGAAGAGUGUGCAGUGAUUGAAUUCUUCUACUCCUUACCAGCUCAGCUGGGUGCUAUGUCUUGGGUAGGGCAUCUGGUUUUUAAAACAUGCAAAUACUGGAGCGGCAGCCUACUUUGUCAGCCGUCUGGCCCUUUGAAUAGUGUUCUGUUCAUGCACAGGGAUCUCACCUGCUUGGGGAUAUAUAGCAGUAAACACUGAAAGCAAGAGGAUGUGCAGAAAUACAUUAUUGAUACAAAUACAUUAUAUACUAUUAUAUGAAUAAGUGAUAAUGCUGAAACAAAGUCAUGUGGUGACUGAAGUGUGAGGGAUAGAACAGGCAAGGACUGCAGGCUCUCCACCAUCUGCACAAUCUGAUUUUUAAAUCUCUGAAGUCCUAUAAUUUCCCUUUUCCAGCAAUCACUUGACACCAUACACUGCCACUCCCAACCCAGGAAUGGGGUUUCUUGAACAUGCUUGACAAAUUUCUCACAGCUAGGUGUUCUGGCAGAUGAAAUGUGACUGAAAGUGCAGUUAUGCAGCUGGCUCACAUACUGUCUUUGCUGGGUGAGAGGAUACGUAUACUGCAACUUUGUGCCAGCAUGAGCCAUGGAUAUACCAGCUGAUAUUUCCAAGCUGUACUGGACUUUGCCCCUUCCUGCCUACCACAUGACUGCUGAUUCUGAUGAGGCACUGAUGCUCUUGCCCUUGGGCUGGGUUGUACAGCGAUGCCCCCAUCAUUGUGGCUGGGCACC
RNAcentral lists this long non-coding RNA (1074 nucleotides) under Gallus gallus (chicken). RNAcentral's name for it is "long non-coding RNA NONGGAT008182". Lineage: Eukaryota; Metazoa; Chordata; Aves; Galliformes; Phasianidae. The record is from RNAcentral.